RNAcentral lists this transfer RNA (71 nucleotides) under Vibrio phage KVP40 Japan/Matsuzaki /1991. It matches the Rfam family "tRNA". From Rfam's summary of the family: Transfer RNA (tRNA) molecules are approximately 80 nucleotides in length. Their secondary structure includes four short double-helical elements and three loops (D, anti-codon, and T loops). RNAcentral also lists the same sequence under 1 other name. Lineage: Duplodnaviria; Heunggongvirae; Uroviricota; Caudoviricetes; Pantevenvirales; Straboviridae. The record is from Rfam by way of RNAcentral.
GCUCGAUUCGACUAUCGGUAGGUCACUUCCCUUUCAAGGAAGUAGGACGGGUUCGACUCCCGUAUCGAGUA